This 73-nucleotide transfer RNA is filed under the name Frigoribacterium sp. SL97. RNAcentral's name for it is "tRNA-Pro". It matches the Rfam family "tRNA". Rfam says of the family: Transfer RNA (tRNA) molecules are approximately 80 nucleotides in length. Their secondary structure includes four short double-helical elements and three loops (D, anti-codon, and T loops). Lineage: Bacteria; Bacillati; Actinomycetota; Actinomycetes; Micrococcales; Microbacteriaceae. The record is from RNAcentral.
CCAGGCCUGGCUCAGUUGGUAGAGCGUCCGUUUUGGGGGCGGAAGGUCCGCGGUUCGAGUCCGCGGGUCUGGA